UCAGGACGAACGCUGGCGGCGUGCCUAAUACAUGCAAGUCGAACGAACUCUGGUAUUGAUUGGUGCUUGCAUCAUGAUUUACAUUUGAGUGAGUGGCGAACUGGUGAGUAACACGUGGGAAACCUGCCCAGAAGCGGGGGAUAACACCUGGAAACAGAUGCUAAUACCGCAUAACAACUUGGACCGCAUGGUCCGAGUUUGAAAGAUGGCUUCGGCUAUCACUUUUGGAUGGUCCCGCGGCGUAUUAGCUAGAUGGUGGGGUAACGGCUCACCAUGGCAAUGAUACGUAGCCGACCUGAGAGGGUAAUCGGCCACAUUGGGACUGAGACACGGCCCAAACUCCUACGGGAGGCAGCAGUAGGGAAUCUUCCACAAUGGACGAAAGUCUGAUGGAGCAACGCCGCGUGAGUGAAGAAGGGUUUCGGCUCGUAAAACUCUGUUGUUAAAGAAGAACAUAUCUGAGAGUAACUGUUCAGGUAUUGACGGUAUUUAACCAGAAAGCCACGGCUAACUACGUGCCAGCAGCCGCGGUAAUACGUAGGUGGCAAGCGUUGUCCGGAUUUAUUGGGCGUAAAGCGAGCGCAGGCGGUUUUUUAAGUCUGAUGUGAAAGCCUUCGGCUCAACCGAAGAAGUGCAUCGGAAACUGGGAAACUUGAGUGCAGAAGAGGACAGUGGAACUCCAUGUGUAGCGGUGAAAUGCGUAGAUAUAUGGAAGAACACCAGUGGCGAAGGCGGCUGUCUGGUCUGUAACUGACGCUGAGGCUCGAAAGUAUGGGUAGCAAACAGGAUUAGAUACCCUGGUAGUCCAUACCGUAAACGAUGAAUGCUAAGUGUUGGAGGGUUUCCGCCCUUCAGUGCUGCAGCUAACGCAUUAAGCAUUCCGCCUGG
This 888-nucleotide ribosomal RNA is filed under the name Lactiplantibacillus pentosus. RNAcentral describes it as "bacterial SSU rRNA". It matches the Rfam family "Bacterial small subunit ribosomal RNA", at positions 24 to 876 of the family's 1533-position model. Lineage: Bacteria; Bacillati; Bacillota; Bacilli; Lactobacillales; Lactobacillaceae. The record is from RNAcentral.